GCGUGGGUCGGCCCGCUGCACCGGAUCCAGCGGGCCGGGGGGACCCCGUCGCCUCAUUCCCCGCGGGCGGCGGGACGGUCCGGGAGGCGCUGAUCGUCUCCCGGGCCGCA
This 110-nucleotide non-coding RNA is filed under the name Streptomyces xinghaiensis. Its description in RNAcentral is "Streptomyces RNA 4115". It matches the Rfam family "Streptomyces RNA 4115". From Rfam's summary of the family: Identified by deep sequencing of transcriptome at the end of exponential growth phase. Sequencing size consistent with notrthern blot size. Lineage: Bacteria; Bacillati; Actinomycetota; Actinomycetes; Kitasatosporales; Streptomycetaceae. The record is from Rfam by way of RNAcentral.